RNAcentral lists this ribosomal RNA (645 nucleotides) under Triticum aestivum (bread wheat). RNAcentral describes it as "partial small subunit ribosomal RNA". The record is from RNAcentral. Lineage: Eukaryota; Viridiplantae; Streptophyta; Magnoliopsida; Poales; Poaceae.
AUGGAAAAUGAUAGUAUCAAAUGGGGACUGGGUCCAAAGCCCUACUAUACCACUAAAGCCUUAUAUACCUACCUAGAAAGAAACAUUGCUGGUUGUGAUUACCGCUGGAUAUGGAAAGCACAUAUUCCUUUGAAAAUUCAAAUUUUCAUGUGGCAGCUAUCGCAAGAUGCGGUGCUGACCAGAGAUGUGAUGAAACGUCGAGGAUGGAAGAGGGAACCCAAAUGCUCUUUUUGUGGGGAGAGGGAAACCUCCCAGCAUCUCUUUUUUACCUGCCCCGUUGCCAGAGUUACCUGGAGAGUGGUUGGGUGUAUGUUUGGCACAGACCUGUGCCCUAACAACUUGUGGCAGGCUUUUGUUUGGUGUUAUACUUUUUUCCCGGAUGGCGAUGUCUUUUAUACAGUGGGCAUUGCAGCUCUAUGUUGGGCUAUUUGGACCUGCCGCAAUCGAUCUACUUUUGAGCACAUCCCUCUCAAAACCUCAUUUGAAUGCAUUUUUUCUGCAUGUGCACUUCUUUGUUACUGGGCAGGACUGAUGAAGCAGGAGGAUGCGGCGAAUCUGAGGGCUGGAGGUGCUCUACUGAAGAACAAUGCGUCUCGCAUGAUGAGGAUUUGCGCAACGGCACAUCAGGAUGGAGGAGUGCACUGA